AAAAUACAUAUAACAAGUGAAACUGCGAGCUACUGCUCACUGAUGAUACCCCCGCCGCAAGUGGAUAAUAUUAAUAGUGUAAAAAUAUGCAAGUGUUCGGUAAACAGGAAGUUGUCGAGUGAUGAAUCUGAAAACGCAUCACACGGUAUAGCUGACUUAUAAAAAUCCUGAAACCAAAUUUCAGAAAUCCUUGUAUUGUAGUUCCUGAGAAAAAUGUGACGAAAAUUUUUAACUUGGUUAUCAUGUGUAAAAUCAUACAAGUGUUCGGUAAACAGGAAGUUGUCGAGUGAUGAAUCUGAAAACGCAUCACACGGUAUAGUUGACUUAUAUAAAUCCUGAAACCAAAUUUCAGAAAUCCUUGUAUUGUAGUUCCUGAGAAAAAUGUGACGAAAAUUUUCAACUUGGCUAUCAUGUGUAAAAUCAGACAAGUGUUCGGUAAACAGGAAGUUGUCAAGUGAUGAAUCUGAAAACGCAUCACACGGUAUGGCUGACAUAUAUAAAUGUUGAUACCAAAUUACAGAAAAGGUGGAUGUGUAGUUCCUGAGAAAAAUGUGACGAAAGUUUCAUGGGACGGACUGACUGACGGACGGACGGACUGAUGGACGGACUGACGGACGGACGGACUGACAGACAGAGGUAAAACAGUAUACCCCCCUUUUUUUAAAGCGGGGGUAUAAAAAUAUAAAAUAUACAAA
Molecule: long non-coding RNA, 695 nt
Filed under: Mytilus galloprovincialis (Mediterranean mussel)
Lineage: Eukaryota; Metazoa; Mollusca; Bivalvia; Mytilida; Mytilidae
Source: RNAcentral